GCGUUAAUCGGAAUUACUGGGCGUAAAGCGUGCGCAGGCGGUCUGUUGAGACCUAUGUGAAAUCCCCGGGCUUAACCUGGGAACUGCAUUGGUGACUGGCAGGCUUUGAGUGUGGCAGAGGGAGGUAGAAUUCCACGUGUAGCAGUGAAAUGCGUAGAGAUGUGGAGGAAUACCGAUGGCGAAGGCAGCCUCCUGGGCCAACACUGACGCUCAGGCACGAAAGCGUGGGGAGCAAACAGG
RNAcentral lists this ribosomal RNA (240 nucleotides) under uncultured bacterium. Its description in RNAcentral is "partial 16S ribosomal RNA". It matches the Rfam family "Bacterial small subunit ribosomal RNA", at positions 538 to 776 of the family's 1533-position model. The record is from RNAcentral.